UCCUACGGGGGGCAGCAGUGGGGGAUAUUGGACAAUGGGGGGAACCCUGAUCCAGCGACGCCGCGUGAGUGAAGAAGUAUCUCGGUAUGUAAAGCUCUAUCAGCAGGGAAGAAAGAAAUGACGGUACCUGAGUAAGAAGCCCCGGCUAACUACGUGCCAGCAGCCGCGGUAAUACGUAGGGGGCAAGCGUUAUCCGGAAUUACUGGGUGUAAAGGGUGCGUAGGCGGCCUGCUAAGUCUGGAGUGAAAGGUACCGGCUCAACCGGUACAGGCUCUGGAAACUGGCGGGCUAGAGAGCAGGAGAGG
This 305-nucleotide ribosomal RNA is filed under the name uncultured bacterium. Its description in RNAcentral is "bacterial SSU rRNA". It matches the Rfam family "Bacterial small subunit ribosomal RNA", at positions 337 to 657 of the family's 1533-position model. The record is from RNAcentral.